Molecule: ribosomal RNA, 488 nt
Filed under: Candida tropicalis
Lineage: Eukaryota; Fungi; Ascomycota; Pichiomycetes; Serinales; Debaryomycetaceae
Description: partial large subunit ribosomal RNA
Rfam family: Eukaryotic large subunit ribosomal RNA
Source: RNAcentral
UGAAGAAGGUAUCUUUGGGUCUGGCUCUUGUCUAUGUUUCUUGGAACAGAACGUCACAGAGGGUGAGAAUCCCGUGCGAUGAGAUGAUCCAGGCCUAUGUAAAGUUCCUUCGAAGAGUCGAGUUGUUUGGGAAUGCAGCUCUAAGUGGGUGGUAAAUUCCAUCUAAAGCUAAAUAUUGGCGAGAGACCGAUAGCGAACAAGUACAGUGAUGGAAAGAUGAAAAGAACUUUGAAAAGAGAGUGAAAAAGUACGUGAAAUUGUUGAAAGGGAAGGGCUUGAGAUCAGACUUGGUAUUUUGUAUGUUACUUCUUCGGGGGUGGCCUCUACAGUUUAUCGGGCCAGCAUCAGUUUGGGCGGUAGGAGAAUUGCGUUGGAAUGUGGCACGGCCUCGGUUGUGUGUUAUAGCCUUCGUCGAUACUGCCAGCCUAGACUGAGGACUGCGGUUUAUACCUAGGAUGUUGGCAUAAUGAUCUUAAGUCGCCCGUCUU